UACCUUCAUCAUAGGCCCACUUUAUAGAACCUACAAAUUGAUUUGUUAUGAAAUGAAGAGAUGCGAGACAACUAUCCUAAAGAGACCAAAUGAAGUUGCAUGUUACUGUAUGGACUUCAACAAUGAGAAAAUCAACUUACAUUAAAAUUUUGCAAUAUUCUGAAUUAGAAUGACUUUGAUAAUACCUCUAACCUUUAAUAUCCGAUAUUUUUAUUAUCUAGAGCUCUGUAAAAAAAUAUAAAAAAAAAAUAUAUAAAAUGAAAAUACCCAAAAAUUAUAUAAAAACAAAAUUGUUUGUAAACAGAGUUCUAGAUAAUAAACAUUGAGGGUGGUGUAAAAGGUGGGAUUAUUGUAAUAUUUUUUAUGACCCCCGCCUUAAAGUCUUCUAAAGUUAUCAUUUUUAAAACAAACAAAAAUUGGAAUGGCAAUUUAAAAAGUAUAUAGUUCCUAUGUGUAGGGACAGUGCCACUCUGCAUGUUAAAGAACCCUUGCCACAAGUCUUUGAGGGGUCAGUAGGUGGCCUGUUGCAAGGCUUAAUUUCUGUCCAACAUAUCCUCCUCUCAGUUGGCAGUCAAAAUUUCCCUUACCUUCAUCAUAGGCCCACUUUAUAGAACCUACAAAUUGAUUUGUUAUGAAAUGAAGAGAUGCGAGACAUUACUAUCCUACAGAGACCAAAUGAUGUUGAUGUAAAAUAGGUUACUGUAUGGACUUCAACAAUGAGAAAAUCAUCCAACAUUAAAAUUUUGCAAUAUUCUGAAUUAGAAUGACUUUGUUAAUACCUCUAACCUUUAACAUCCGAUAUUUUUAUUAUCUAGAGCUCUGUAAAAAAAAUAUAAAAAAUGAAAAUACCAAAAAAUAAUAUGAAAACAAAAUUGUUUGUAAACAGAGUUCUAGAUAAUAAACAUUGAGGGUGGUGUAAAAGGUGGGAUUAUUGUAAUAUUUUUUAUGACCCCCGCCUUAAAGUCUUCUAAAGUUAUCAUUUUUAAAACAAACAAAAAUUGGAAUGGCAAUUUAAAAAGUAUAUAGUUCCUAUGUGUAGGGACAGUGCCACUCUGCACGUUAAAGAACCCUUGCCACAAGUCUUUGAGGGGUCAGUAGGUGGUCUGUUGCAAGGCUUAAUUUCUGUCCAACAUAUCCUCCUCUCAGUUGGCAGUCAAAAUUUCCCUUACCUUCAUCAUAGGCCCACUUUAUAGAACCUACAAAUUGAUUUGUUAUGAAAUGAAGAGAUGCGAGACAACUAUCCUACGGAGACCAAAUGAAGUUGCAUGUUACUGUAUGGACUUCAACAAUGAGAAAAUCAACUAACAUUAAAAUUUUGCAAUAUUCUGAAUUAGAAUGACUUUGUUAAUACCUCUAACCUUUAACAUCCGAUAUUUUUAUUAUCUAGAGCUCUGUAAAAAAAAUAUUAAAAAAAUAUAUAAAAAAUGAAAAUACCAAAAAAUAAUAUGAUAACAAAAUUGUUUGUAAACAGAGUUCUAGAUAAUAAACAUUGAGGGUGGUGUAAAAGGUGGGAUUAUUGUAAUAUUUUUUAUGACCCCCGCUUUAAAGUCUUCUAAAGUUAUCAUGUUUAAAACAAACAAAAAUUGGAAUGGCAAUUUAAAAAGUAUAUAGUUCCUAUGUGUAGGGACAGUGCCACUCUGCACAUUAAAGAACCCUUGCCACAAGUCUUUGAGGGGUCAGUAGGUGGCCUGUUGCAAGGCUUAAUUUCUGUCCCAACAUAUCCUCCUCUCAGUUGGCAGUCAAAAUUUCCCUUACCUUCAUCAUUGGCCCACUUUAUAGAACCUACAAAUUGAUUUGUUAUGAAAUGAAGAGAUGUGAGACAACUAUCCUACAGAGACUAAAUGAAGUUGCAUGUUACUGUAUGGACUUCAACAAUGAGAAAAUCAACUAACAUUAAAAUUUUGCAAUAUUCUGAAUUAGAAUGACUUUAUUAAUACCUCUAACCUUUAACAUCUGAUAUUUUUAUUAUCUAGAGCUCUGUAAAAAAAAAUAUCAAAAAAAUAUCAAAAAAGAAAAUACCAAAAAAUAAUAUAUGAAAACAAAAUUGUUUGUAAACAGAGUUCUAGAUAAUAAACAUUGAGGGUGGUGUAAAAGGUGGGAUUAUUGUAAUAUUUUUUAUGACCCCCGCUUUAAAGUCUUCUAAAGUUAUCAUGUUUAAAACAAACAAAAAUUGGAAUGGCAAUUUAAAAAGUAUAGUUCCUAUGUGUAGGGACAGUGCCACUCUGCACGUUAAAGAACCCUUGCCACAAGUCUUUGAGGGGUCAGUAGGUGGCCUGUUGCAAGGCUUAAUUUCUGCCCAACAUGUCCUCUCAGUUGGCAGUCAAAAUUUCCCUUACCUUCGUCAUCGGCCCACUUUAUAGAACCUACAAAUUGAUUUGUUAUGAAAAGAAGAGAUGCGAAACAACUAUCCUACAGAGACCAAAUGAAGUUGCAUGUUACUGUAUGGACUUCAACAAUGAGAAAAUCAACUAACAUUAAAAUUUUGCAAUAUUCUGAAUUAGAAUGACUUUGUUAAUACCUCUAACCUUUAACAUCUGAUAUUUUUAUUAUCUAGAGCUCUGUUAAAAAAAUAUAUAAAAAAUGAAAAUACCAAAAAAUAAUAUGAAAACAAAAUUGUUUGUAAACAGAGUUCUAGAUAAUAAACAUUGAGGGUGGUGUAAAAGGUGGGAUUAUUGUAAUAUUUUUUAUGACCCCCGUUUUAAAGUCUUCUAAAGUUAUCAUGUUUAAAACAAAUAAAAAUUGGAAUGGCAAUUUAAAAAGUAUAGUUCCUAUGUGUAGGGACAGUGCCACUCUGCACGUUAAAGAACCCUUGCCACAAGUCUUUGAGGGGUCAGUAGGUGGCCUGUUGCAAGGCUUAAUUUCUGUCCAACAUAUCCUCCUCUCAGUUGGCAGUAAAAAUUUCCCUUACCUUCGUCAUCGGCCCACUUUAUAGAACCUACAAAUUGAUUUGUUAUGAAAUGAAGAGAUGCGAGACAACUAUCCUACAGAGACCAAAUGAAGUUGCAUGUUACUGUAUGGACUUCAACAAUGAGAAAAUCAACUAACAUUAAAAUUUUGCAAUAUUCUGAUUUAGAAUGACUUUGCCUCUAACCUUUAAAAUCUGAUAUUUUUAUUAUUUAGAGCUCUGUAAAAAAAUAUGAAUAAAAAAAAAAAUACCAAAAAAUAUGAAAACAAAAUCGUUUGUAAACAGAGUUCUAGAUAAUAAACAUUGAGGAUGUUGUAAAAAGUAGGCAUAUUUAAAAUUUUGUUUAUUAUUAUGAAUAGUGCACUGUAUAAUUUAUAAAAAUGUGUAUUGUGAAGUCUUGGAAAAUUGUGAAACUUUAGAACUGUGUUUAUUUGAGAAGUCUAUAUUCAGUCUUCAAUGAUUGUCAUGGCAAUUGAGGACAAUAAAAUAUAGCUCUGUGUAGAAACUGACUUUUUUAUAUCAAGAAAGAUCCAACAAAAGUUUUCAAUGAUAUCUAAAGAGACAAAAGACAGAAAUACUAAAAGGUUUUCUAUGAGAUUGGUGGAUUAUGUACAGUCAGACAACUGGCACACUCAAGCUAAAAGUUAAAUAGCUAUUAAAAUAAAAUUAUGGACUUGUAUAAUAACAUUAAUGAAGACAGAUGUUCUAAAGUGAAGACAUGUUCCUUCAUAAUGUUCUAUAGUGAAGACAUGUUCCUACAUAAUGUUCCAUAGUGAAGACAUGUUCCUACAUAAUGUUCCAUAGUGAAGACAUGUUCAUACAUAUUGUUCUAUAGUGAAGACAUGUUCCUACAUAAUGUUCCAUAGUGAAGACAUGUUCAUACAUAUUGUUCUAUAGUGAAGACAUGUUCCUACAUAAUGUCUUAUAGUGAAGACAUAUUCCUACAUAUUGUUCUAUAGUGAAGACAUGUUCCUACAUAAUGUCUUAUAGUGAAGACAUAUUCCUACAUAUUGUUCUAUAGUGAAGACAUGUUCCUACAUAAUGUCUUAUAGUGCAGACAUGUUCCUACAUAAUGUUCUAUAGUGAAGACAGAUGUUCUAAUAGCACAAACAGAUGUUCCUAAGUUGCAAUGAAGUGUUCAGAAGACAGACAGAGUUUCCUUUUGCAAUGAAAUUAUCCAGAACACAUAGUUGAUUAGAUUUCCAGUUCAUUACAUAUUCUGACAUUUUCUCAAGAAAAACACAAGAUUUCAAUGUUCAACCUGAAAGGAGAAAUUCUUAAAAUUUAUGCUGGACAUCUCAUAUCAAGGAUCCAUCACAAUAUUGAUAUUAGACUUAUGAAGAAUAUUCUGAUAAAUUAAUGAUGUACGACAAAUCGUGCUACAAGUAUCAUACCAGCAGAAUUAUUUGAUGGGAGUAAAACAUAGGAGCAGGAUCUCACCUCAUACAAGUGAGGAGGAACAGUUGAACUGAUGAACUUUGAACUGAUGAACUUGGAAACAUCUGAAAGGUAAUAAUACAUAAGAAAAACAGACCACCUAGAAUAAGAAAAGAGAAAGAGUUAACUCGUAGAGUAAAGGGUAAAAACAGACCACAUAGAAUAAGGAAAGAGAAAGAUUAACUCAUAGAGUAAAGGGUAGACGAAACUAUCAACACUUUGAAAUAAACAAGAGCAAUAAUCGACAUAACAGCUGCUUCAUCACCAUCUCAGAGGUUAGGUCUCUAACUGACUCAACUGAUGAACUUAUAACAAGCUUAACAGAUCAUCAGCAUAGUUGAACAAUGAACACUUCAGAGACAAAAUAUUCUUGGCAAUGAAAAUAUAUGACUGAAAUUUCAUAAUUGUAUAUGGUCAGUGGGAGAGAGAGAAAGAUGUAGAAUGGUCAGAGUGGGAGAGGGAGAAUACUUAUGAUGAUGAGUGGGGAGAAAUAAAGAACAAUUAUUGCAACUGAUAAAUUUGUCUUCAACCAAACUCAUGGCUUGUGUUGAUGUGUCUAACCUUAGACAUCUGAUAUUUUUAUUAUCUAGAGCUCUGUUUAAAAAAAAAAUGUAAAAAAUAAUAUGAAAACAAAUUUUAAACAGUUCUAGAUAAUAAACAUUAAGGGUGGUGUAAAAAGUGGGCAUAUUUUAAAUUUUCUUUUUUACACCAAUGUAUUUAUGAAAUUUAAAACUUUAAAGUCAGAAUGUUUAAUUGGACGUACAAUUGUUUUGAUUUUAGAUAUUUGGAGACAAAACCUAUUCUUCUCCAUUUAUUACACUCUAAAAGUGUCAUUAAUUUGCAAUAUUCUUAUUUUGAUUGUCUUUGCUUAUACCUCUAACCUUAGACAUCCAAUAUUUUUAUUAUCUAGAGCUCUGUAAAAAAAAAUGACAAAAUUGUAAAUAGAGUUCUAGAUAAUAAACAUUAAGGGUGGUGUAAAAAGUGGUUAUAUUUUUUAUAUUUUGAAUUCUCUCCCUCCCCAAUAUAUUUACGAAAUUAAAUACAAGAGAUAUUUAUUGGUAAAUGAUUUGUGUUGGAUAAGUUUUAUCCUUUCAUUAGUGUAUUUUAAAAAAUGUUUUUUUCAAGCUGUACAUUUUUCUUGGGUAUUGAAAAUGGCUUUGAAGUUAAUAUGUUUAAUUGGAAGCAGAAUUUUUUUAUUAUUAGAUAUUGGAGACAAAACCUAUCUUCUCUGUAUAUUUCACCUUAACAGUGUCUUAGAUUUGCAAUGUCUUUGCUUAUACCUCUAACCUUAGACAUCCAAUAUUUUUAUUAUCUAGAGCUCUGUAAAAAAAAAAAAAAAAAAAAAAUAAUAUGAAAACAAAAUUGCAGAGUUCUAGAUAAUAAACAUUAAGGGUGGUGUAAAAAGUGGGUAUAUUUUGAAUUGUUAAAUGCCCUUAAAGUUUGAAUGUUUAAAUGGAAGUAGAAUUCUUUCAAUUUUAGAUGUUUUGAGAUAAAACCUAUCAUCUCGGUAUAUAUUUAUACUGUGUAUAACAGUGUCUUAAAUUCUGCAAUAUUGUGAUUUUGAAUGUCUUUGUUAACUCUAACUUUUAACAUUUGAAUUCCAUUCAGUAUUAAAAUAAUAUGUGAUGCAAA
Mytilus californianus (California mussel) is the source of this 5974-nucleotide long non-coding RNA. RefSeq lists it as uncharacterized. Lineage: Eukaryota; Metazoa; Mollusca; Bivalvia; Mytilida; Mytilidae. The record is from RefSeq and is a predicted model, not a curated record. The transcript is spliced from 8 exons.